This 634-nucleotide ribosomal RNA is filed under the name uncultured bacterium. Its description in RNAcentral is "bacterial SSU rRNA". It matches the Rfam family "Bacterial small subunit ribosomal RNA", at positions 649 to 1270 of the family's 1533-position model. The record is from RNAcentral.
CAGCAGGAGAAAACGGAAUUCCCGGUGUAGUGGUAAAAUGCGUAGAUAUCGGGAGGAACACCAGAGGCGAAGGCGGUUUUCUAGGUUGUCACUGACACUGAGGCUCGAAAGCGUGGGGAGCGAACAGAAUUAGAUACUCUGGUAGUCCACGCCUUAAACUAUGGACACUAGGUAUAGGGAGUAUCGACCCUCUCUGUGCCGAACUAACGCUUUAAGUGUCCCGCCUGGGGAGUACGGUCGCAAGGCUAAAACUCAAAGGAAUUGACGGGGGCCCGCACAAGCAGCGGAGCGUGUGGUUUAAUUCGAUGCUACACGAAGAACCUUACCAAGAUUUGACAUGCAUGAAGUAGUGAACCGAAAGGGAAACGACCUGUUAAGUCAGGAGUUUGCACAGGUGCUGCAUGGCUUGUCCGUCAGCUCGUGCCGUGAGGUGGUUUGGUUAAGUCCUUGCAACGAGCGCAACCCUUGGUCGCUAGUUAAAUUUUCUAAGCCGAAGACUGNCCCCGCGAAACGGGAAGGAAGGUGGAUUGACCGUCAAGUCAAGCCAUGGGNCCUUUAUAUUCUUNGGGGCUUACACACACCGCUUACAAUGGGACCAGAACAAUUAGGGUUGGCNAACCAAGUGGUGGAAACU